This 478-nucleotide ribosomal RNA is filed under the name uncultured bacterium. RNAcentral's name for it is "partial 16S ribosomal RNA". It matches the Rfam family "Bacterial small subunit ribosomal RNA", at positions 28 to 507 of the family's 1533-position model. The record is from RNAcentral.
GAUGAACGCUGGCGGCGUGCUUAACACAUGCAAGUCGAACGAGAAGUGAAGACGGAAACCUUCGGGCGGAAGGCUUUAUUUCGAGUGGCGGACGGGUGAGUAACGCGUGGGUAACCUGCCUCAUACAGGGGGAUAACAGUUGGAAACGACUGUUAAUACCGCAUAAGACCACAGCAGCGCAUGGUGCGGGGGUAAAAACUCCGGUGGUAUGAGAUGGACCCGCGUUCGAUUAGCCAGUUGGCGGGGUAACGGCCCACCAAAGCGACGAUCGAUAGCCGAUCUGAGAGGAUGACCGGCCACAUUGGGACUGAGACACGGCCCAAACUCCUACGGGAGGCAGCAGUGGGGAAUAUUGCACAAUGGGGAAAACCCUGAUGCAGCGACGCCGCGUGAGUGAAGAAGUAUUUCGGUAUGUAAAGCUCUAUCAGCAGGGAAGAAAAUGACGGUACCUGAGGAAGAAGCCCCGGCUAACUACGUG